AAGGAAGGGGAAAACUAUACGAAUUUAAGUCGCCCAUCAGAGCGGACGAGACUCCAGCAGCAAAGUUUAAACACGCAGUAAUAUUGUUGCGCUUGCUGCGCGCGCACUUGUUCGUGUUAAAAGUCGCGCUUCGAAACGCAAAUCUCCGCUCUUUCGUUAACCGCAGAGAGCAGCCAGGCGGGCCGCGCGUAGGCGCUACCUUGCGCGCGCGUUCUCGAGGCCCUGAGCUGCCUGCGAAACGAGGCGACGAGCAUGUGUUUUUUUCCGCAAGCUCACGAAGCGCGCACGAAACAACGUGCGCCGUAACAGCAGCAGCGCGAGACGAAAGCUUACUUGGUAAAAUAAAGCUCGCUGCGGCGUUGCACGCUUUGCGCACACCAGAGCGUGUCGCGCUGCUCGCGAGUCCGUUAGCGAACUCUCUCUGCCACUUUGCAGAGAGGCUGUUCGUCAGACCAACUUUUCGGGU
Molecule: ribosomal RNA, 466 nt
Filed under: Otitesella ako
Lineage: Eukaryota; Metazoa; Arthropoda; Insecta; Hymenoptera; Pteromalidae
Description: eukaryotic LSU rRNA
Source: RNAcentral